GACGAACGCUGGCGGCGUGCUUAACACAUGCAAGUCGAACGGAAAGGCCCUGCUUUUGUGGGGUGCUCGAGUGGCGAACGGGUGAGCAGCACGUGAGUAACCUGCCCUUGACUUUGGGAUAACUUCAGGAAACUGGGGCUAAUACCGGAUAGGAGCUCCUGCUGCAUGGGGGGGGUUGGAAAGUUUCGGCGGUUGGGGAUGGACUCGCGGCUUAUCAGCUUGUUGGUGGGGUAGUGGCUUACCAAGGCUUUGACGGGUAGCCGGCCUGAGAGGGUGACCGGCCACAUUGGGACUGAGAUACGGCCCAGACUCCUACGGGAGGCAGCAGUGGGGAAUAUUGCACAAUGGGCGGAAGCCUGAUGCAGCAACGCCGCGUGCGGGAUGACGGCCUUCGGGUUGUAAACCGCUUUCGCCUGUGACGAAGCGUGAGUGACGGUAAUGGGUAAAGAAGCACCGGCUAACUACGUG
Molecule: ribosomal RNA, 468 nt
Filed under: uncultured bacterium
Lineage: Bacteria
Description: partial 16S ribosomal RNA
Rfam family: Bacterial small subunit ribosomal RNA
Source: RNAcentral